UACGUAGGGCGCAAGCGUUGUCCGGAAUUAUUGGGCGUAAAGAGCUCGUAGGCGGUUUGUCGCGUCUGCUGUGAAAACGCGAGGCUCAACCUCGCGCCUGCAGUGGGUACGGGCAGACUAGAGUGCGGUAGGGGAGAUUGGAAUUCCUGGUGUAGCGGUGGAAUGCGCAGAUAUCAGGAGGAACACCGAUGGCGAAGGCAGAUCUCUGGGCCGUUACUGACGCUGAGGAGCGAAAGCGUGGGUAGCGAACAGG
RNAcentral lists this ribosomal RNA (253 nucleotides) under uncultured bacterium. RNAcentral's name for it is "partial 16S ribosomal RNA". It matches the Rfam family "Bacterial small subunit ribosomal RNA", at positions 524 to 776 of the family's 1533-position model. The record is from RNAcentral.